GAUGAACGCUAGCGGCAGGCUUAAUACAUGCAAGUCGUGGGGCAGCAUGAGUAGCAAUACUUGAUGGCGACCGGCAAACGGGUGAGGAACACGUACACAACCUUCCUUCAAGCGGGGAAUAGCCCAGAGAAAUUUGGAUUAAAUACCCCCAUAAUAUAUUUGAUAAGGCAUCUUAUUAAUAUUAAAGCUUCGGCACUUGAUGAUGGGUGUGCGGCUGAUUAGAUAGUUGGCGGGUAACGGCCCACCAAGUCUACGAUCAGUAGCUGAUGUGAGAGCAUGAUCAGCCACACGGGCACUGAGACACGGGCCCGACUCCUACGGGAGGCAGCAGUAAGGAAUAUUGGACAAUGGACGAAAGUCUGAUCCAGCCAUGCCGCGUGAAGGAUUAAGGUCCUCUGGAUUGUAAACUCUUUUAUAUGGGACGAAAAAGGCAAUUCUUGUUACACUUGACGGUACCAUAUGAAUAAGCACCGGCUAACUACCGUGCCAG
Molecule: ribosomal RNA, 490 nt
Filed under: uncultured bacterium
Lineage: Bacteria
Description: bacterial SSU rRNA
Rfam family: Bacterial small subunit ribosomal RNA
Source: RNAcentral